Molecule: ribosomal RNA, 599 nt
Filed under: Hymenobacter psychrotolerans
Lineage: Bacteria; Pseudomonadati; Bacteroidota; Cytophagia; Cytophagales; Hymenobacteraceae
Description: bacterial SSU rRNA
Rfam family: Bacterial small subunit ribosomal RNA
Source: RNAcentral
ACAUGCAAGUCGAACGGGUGUAGCAAUACACUAGUGGCGCACGGGUGCGUAACGCGUAACCAACCUGCCCUUGACUGGGGGAUAGCCCGCCGAAAGGCGGAUUAAUACCGCAUAAACUAGCAGCCUGGCAUCAGGCAACUAGUAAAGAUUUAUUGGUCAAGGAUGGGGUUGCGUGACAUUAGCUAGUUGGCGGGGUAACGGCCCACCAAGGCGACGAUGUCUAGGGGACCUGAGAGGGUGAUCCCCCACACUGGCACUGAGAUACGGGCCAGACUCCUACGGGAGGCAGCAGUAGGGAAUAUUGGGCAAUGGGCGAGAGCCUGACCCAGCCAUGCCGCGUGCCGGAUGAAGGCCUUCUGGGUUGUAAACGGCUUUUCUCAGGGAAGAAAAAGGUGAUGCGUCACAAACUGACGGUACCUGAGGAAUAAGCACCGGCUAACUCCGUGCCAGCAGCCGCGGUAAUACGGAGGGUGCAAGCGUUGUCCGGAUUUAUUGGGUUUAAAGGGUGCGUAGGCGGCCCGUUAAGUCCGGGGUGAAAGCCCACAGCUCAACUGUGGAACUGCCCUGGAUACUGGCGGGCUUGAGUCCAGACGAGGUUG